This 217-nucleotide ribosomal RNA is filed under the name Archosargus probatocephalus. Its description in RNAcentral is "partial 16S ribosomal RNA". Lineage: Eukaryota; Metazoa; Chordata; Actinopteri; Spariformes; Sparidae. The record is from RNAcentral.
AAGACGCCAGAACAGCUCAUGUUAAACACCCCUAAAUAAAGGAAAAAACCAAAUGAACCCUGCUCUAAUGUCUUUGGUUGGGGCGACCGCGGGGAAAUACAAAACCCCCAUGUGGAAUAGGAAUACUAUGUUCCUAAAUCCAAGAGCUCCCGCUCUAAUAAACAGAACUUCUGACCAACUAGAUCCGGCAAUGCCGAUCAACGGACCGAGUUACCCU